This 606-nucleotide ribosomal RNA is filed under the name Nocardia nova. RNAcentral's name for it is "bacterial SSU rRNA". It matches the Rfam family "Bacterial small subunit ribosomal RNA", at positions 46 to 669 of the family's 1533-position model. The record is from RNAcentral. Lineage: Bacteria; Bacillati; Actinomycetota; Actinomycetes; Mycobacteriales; Nocardiaceae.
GCUUAACACAUGCAAGUCGAGCGGUAAGGCCCUUCGGGGUACACGAGCGGCGAACGGGUGAGUAACACGUGGGUGAUCUGCCUCGUACUCUGGGAUAAGCCUGGGAAACUGGGUCUAAUACCGGAUAUGACCACGAAUCGCAUGGUUUGUGGUGGAAAGAUUUAUCGGUGCGAGAUGGGCCCGCGGCCUAUCAGCUUGUUGGUGGGGUAAUGGCCUACCAAGGCGACGACGGGUAGCCGACCUGAGAGGGUGACCGGCCACACUGGGACUGAGACACGGCCCAGACUCCUACGGGAGGCAGCAGUGGGGAAUAUUGCACAAUGGGCGAAAGCCUGAUGCAGCGACGCCGCGUGAGGGAUGACGGCCUUCGGGUUGUAAACCUCUUUCGACAGGGACGAAGCGCAAGUGACGGUACCUGUAGAAGAAGCACCGGCCAACUACGUGCCAGCAGCCGCGGUAAUACGUAGGGUGCGAGCGUUGUCCGGAAUUACUGGGCGUAAAGAGCUUGUAGGCGGUUCGUCGCGUCGAUUGUGAAAACUUGCAGCUCAACUGCAAGCUUGCAGUCGAUACGGGCGGACUAGAGUACUUCAGGGGAGACUGGAAUUC